This 497-nucleotide ribosomal RNA is filed under the name uncultured bacterium. Its description in RNAcentral is "partial 16S ribosomal RNA". It matches the Rfam family "Bacterial small subunit ribosomal RNA", at positions 28 to 507 of the family's 1533-position model. The record is from RNAcentral.
GAUGAACGCUGGCGGCGUGCCUAAUACAUGCAAGUCGAGCGAACAGACGAGGAGCUUGCUCCUCUGACGUUAGCGGCGGACGGGUGAGUAACACGUGGAUAACCUACCUAUAAGACUGGGAUAACUUCGGGAAACCGGAGCUAAUACCGGAUAAUAUAUUGAACCGCAUGGUUCAAUAGUGAAAGACGGUUUUGCUGUCCCUUAUUGAUGGUUCCGCGCCGGAUUAGCUAGUUGGUAAGGUAACGGCUUACCAAGGCAACGAUGCGUAGCCGACCUGAGAGGGUGAUCAGCCACACUGGAACUGAGACACGGUCCAGACUCCUACGGGAGGCAGCAGUAGGGAAUAUUCCGCAAUGGGCGAAAGCCUGACGCAGCAACGCCGCGUGAGUGAUGAAGGUCUUCGGAUCGUAAAACUCUGUUAUUAGGGAAGAACAAAUGUGUAAGUAACUAUGCACGUCUUGACGGUACCUAAUCAGAAAGCCACGGCUAACUACGUG